GAUGAAGAACGUAGCGAAAUGCGAUAAGUAAUGUGGAUUGCAGAAUUCAGUGAAUCAUCGAAUCUUUGAACGCACCUUGCGCUCUUUGGUAUUCCGAAGAGCAUGCCUGUUUGAGUGUCAUGAAAAUAUCAACCUUGACUUGGGUUUUGUGCUCUAGUCUCGGCUUGGAAUUGGGUGCUUGCCGCUUUUACGAGCGGCUCACCUUAAAUGUAUUAGCUGGAUCUGUCUUUGAGACUUGGUUUGACUUGGCGUAAUAAGUAUUUCGCUAAGGACAUUCUUCGGAGUGGCCUCGUUUCUAGGACGCUUGUCCGCUUUCCAAUACAAGUUCCACCUCGUGGACAUGACUUUUUAUUAUCUGGCCUCAAAUCAGGUAGGACUACCCGCUGAACUUAAGCAUAUCAAUAAGCGGAGGA
RNAcentral lists this unclassified non-coding RNA (413 nucleotides) under soil metagenome. Its description in RNAcentral is "partial contains 5.8S ribosomal RNA, internal transcribed spacer 2, and large subunit ribosomal RNA". The stretch from base 1 to 120 matches the Rfam family "5.8S ribosomal RNA", at positions 35 to 154 of the family's 154-position model. The record is from RNAcentral.